This 253-nucleotide ribosomal RNA is filed under the name uncultured bacterium. RNAcentral describes it as "partial 16S ribosomal RNA". It matches the Rfam family "Bacterial small subunit ribosomal RNA", at positions 524 to 776 of the family's 1533-position model. The record is from RNAcentral.
UACAGAGGUCCCGAGCGUUGUUCGGAUUCACUGGGCGUAAAGGGUGCGUAGGUGGUUGGGUAAGUCUGAUGUGAAAUCUCCGGGCUCAACCCGGAAAUGGCAUUGGAUACUAUCUGGCUAGAGGUUUGGAGGGGGGACUGGAAUUCUCGGUGUAGCAGUGAAAUGCGUAGAUAUCGAGAGGAACACCAGUGGCGAAGGCAGCCCCCUGGGUCAAGAUUGACGCUCAUGCACGAAAGCGUGGGGAGCAAACAGG